This is a long non-coding RNA of Poecilia latipinna (sailfin molly), 453 nucleotides long. RefSeq lists it as uncharacterized. The transcript has 3 exons. The record is from RefSeq and is a predicted model, not a curated record. Lineage: Eukaryota; Metazoa; Chordata; Actinopteri; Cyprinodontiformes; Poeciliidae.
AUGGUGAAACACGGACGUCGCCAUGUUGUUUACGCUGCAAUGCAUUCUGGGUAAAUGACAUGCUAGGUCCCGUAGUGCUAGCUAACCAGCCAAAAAUCGAUGGCAAUGUAGAAAUCACAAGGCGCAAUGAAGAUGAGGAGGACCAAACGAAAUAAGAGGAAAAAGUUACCAGAAGAAGCUGCUGUUUGUGCUGCUGCUAACUUCAGCUUCAUAACUGAAACAAUGAAAGCCACGUACCUCUGGUCGGACUGUGUGAUCCGAUUCCCGGAGUCGUCCAUGCAGAGAAACAUGGACGAUGUCUGUCCCUUUAUGACCACAUGACCCGGUUUAACGGACUUUAUCUGCAACACACCUGGACAAACAAACAGAUUCUCCUUCCUGCACUGAAUAAAACUGAAGUUCUGUACAUACCUGUGUAGAGACGCACCUCUCUGAGCUGAUUCCUGAAGGCAA